GAUGAACGCUGGCGGCGUGCCUAAUACAUGCAAGUCGAGCGAACAGAUGAGGAGCUUGCUCCUCUGACGUUAGCGGCGGACGGGUGAGUAACACGUGGAUAACCUACCUAUAAGACUGGGAUAACUUCGGGAAACCGGAGCUAAUACCGGAUAAUAUAUUGAACCGCAUGGUUCAAUAGUGAAAGACGGUUUUGCUGUCACUUAUAGAUGGAUCCGCGCCGCAUUAGCUAGUUGGUAAGGUAACGGCUUACCAAGGCAACGAUGCGUAGCCGACCUGAGAGGGUGGUCGGCCACACUGGAACUGAGACACGGUCCAGACUCCUACGGGAGGCAGCAGUAGGGAAUCUUCAGCAAUGGGCGAAAGCCUGACGGAGCAACGCCGCGUGAGUGAUGAAGGUCUUCGGAUCGUAAAACUCUGUUAUUAGGGAAGAACAAAUGUGUAAGUAACUAUGCACGUCUUGACGGUACCUAAUCAGAAAGCCACGGCUAACUACGUG
RNAcentral lists this ribosomal RNA (497 nucleotides) under uncultured bacterium. RNAcentral describes it as "partial 16S ribosomal RNA". It matches the Rfam family "Bacterial small subunit ribosomal RNA", at positions 28 to 507 of the family's 1533-position model. The record is from RNAcentral.